Long non-coding RNA from Pan troglodytes (chimpanzee), 464 nucleotides. RefSeq lists it as uncharacterized. The transcript is spliced from 2 exons. Lineage: Eukaryota; Metazoa; Chordata; Mammalia; Primates; Hominidae. The record is from RefSeq and is a predicted model, not a curated record.
AUCGCAGGCGUUCGAGGCCUGGGUGACUCUGUUCUCCGAACACAAGGACCGGGUCCAACUGGCCGCCUUCCCCUUCUGGAGAAGCCAGUGGUCCCCAUCUCCAGUAAAUGAAUACUUCCAUGAAAACAGCUCAACCAGGCUGGGCACAGUGGCUCAUGCCUAUAAUCCCAGCACUCUGGGAGGCCGAAGUGGGCAGAUCACGAGGUCAGGAGUUUGAGACCAGCCUGACCAAUGUGGUGAAACCCCAUCUCUACUAAAAGUACAAAAACUAGCCGGGCGUGGUGGCACGCACCUGUAAUCCCAGCUACUCAGGAGGCUGAGGCAGGAGAAUUGCUUGAACCCAGGAGGCAGAGGCUGCAGUGAGCUGAGAUGGCGCCACUACACUCCAGCCUGGACAACAGAGUGAGACUUAGUCUCAAAAAAAAAAUAAAUAAAUAAAUAAAAAGAAAAUAGCUCAACCAAAA